Aegilops tauschii subsp. strangulata is the source of this 2460-nucleotide long non-coding RNA. RefSeq lists it as uncharacterized. Lineage: Eukaryota; Viridiplantae; Streptophyta; Magnoliopsida; Poales; Poaceae. The record is from RefSeq and is a predicted model, not a curated record.
CUUCCUUCCCCCGUCUGCCCGAGCCCCCGCCGCCAACUGCUACUCCUCCACCGCCUCGCCUCUUCCUCCUCCUUGCCGUCCCAUCGCUCGCACGCAGGCCAUCGUGGCCACGCGCUUCGCGGGCCCGAUCUCCACCGCCUGCUCCGGGACGAUGCCUCUCGAGUGAAGGAGGAUGCCCAAACCAUGGUCGAGCCAACGGUGGGGGCCGGGUCAAGGCUGCGGUUGGCGGCCUGGAUGCAGGCGAUGGUGGCGGACGUUGGGGGUCUGGCGGGCGUGGCGGCCGACGGGAUCUGCUAGACAUGUAGGCAGCUGGAAGGGCAGCAGCGGCCUGUGGGGCGUCGACCGGUCCAGCAGCCGCCUUGAUGGAGAAGGGCCAUGCAGGAUUCGUGCCCCUGCACAUCCAGGACUAUGACAUUGGCACUGUCAACAUCUAGCAGUAAGAGAAGUGGCCCCAAUUAGUACAUGGUUCGUUUUGGAUUUUGGAUCUGCAACAUUUAGGAGGCUGGUCUGGAUUAGGUCCGUUUCUUGGAGUAUGACAAGUUGAUGGUGAUCCUCACGCUGACAAAAUAAUGGAACAUUUAGUGCUGGUGCUUCUGAAGGGCUUUUAUCUUGAGCUGCUCAUACUAGUAUGACAAGGUGGAAAGUCAAGUGCUUAUUGAUCAAAGAAGAAGAAGCAUAAUAAGUGUGCACUCUCAGAGUUUCAGAGUGGGGUUGCUUCCUCUGCCCCCUUCAUGUGGUUUAGGGCUUUUAUCUUGAGCUGCUCACUACUAUGACAAGGUGGAAAGUCAACUGCUUAUUGAUCGAAGAAGAAGAAGCAUAAUAAGUGUGCACUUUCAGAGUUCCGGAGUGGGGUUGCUUCCUCCGCGCCCUUCAUAUGGUUGAGGGCUUUUAUCUUGAGCUGCUCAGUCAAGUGCUUAUUGAUCGAAGAAGAAGAAGCAUAAUAAGUGUGCACUUUCAGACUUUCAGAGUGGGGUUGCUUCCUCCGCGCCCUUCAUAUGGUUGAGGUCUGGUCUACGCUAAAUGAAUGUUGGUGUUCUAGAUCUGGCUGUAUCUGCAGUGCACGAGUGUGUCGACGAGAAGGAGCAACAACUCCUUGGACAAUGUUUUGUUUCACUUUUCAAGGAUGAGUAUCUUUACUUUGAAAAUGAACUCGUCAUAUUUCUAUUGGAAAUGAAGUGAUGUUGCUUCCCAGUUGUCGGCCCCGGUGGAGCCUUGCAGUGGCUGGGCGUGACCAUGCUCUGCCUCCGCUGGUGAGAGCCGUGAGGAGUCAGAGAGGGAGAUUGAGGAGGAGGAAGAUGAUACACCCGGCAGCGUGACACAUGCGUCUCCCAACGGCGCUUGCAACGGGAGAUUCGCGGGCUAUGUCAGGCUGCACCAGCAAGGUGAGCCCCAUCACUCUGCGUUUAUUUCUUCAGAUCAUGCAGCAGCAAUGUGACCGAGGAAUCGAUGCUUUACAUAAUUGAUCAGUUAACUGGUAAUAUAUCUAUAGAAUAGCCAAGCAAAAAACAUUGCGUUUCCUAGAUGUUCCAUACGAUAUUGAAGUUGGAACCAGGCUAAUAGACAAACUGUAUAUCCGAUUAUGCUAGAAAAAGGAGAAUAGAACGUUUACUUUUAUGAUGGUAGGAUGUCUUAGUUUUGUUUCCUAUGUUCUCUCUCAAAAAAGAAAUCUGGGAUACACCAUCAGUAUCAACACCGGUAAAAAGAAUCCAAUCAAAAUAUGAUGUUUUUCCCUUGGCUAUAUGUUUAUUUGAAGGAAACCAUUCAAUUCUCAGUGAUCUUUCUUUAUGCGACGUGGUGCCAUUUUUCCUAAUGUGCCUAUAGAAGUGAUUUAUCAGGUGUUUUGGUUUAUUAUCUUAUAAGGGAGUCCCAAAGUUUUUUGGAUUAUGAAUUCUCUGGUCAGAAUCGGUUGUUUUUUCCCCUUGUGUUCAUUUAUUUCUCAGAUUGCAGAACUGACGAGUGUAGACUAAGUUGAUGAUCUACAUGUGUUGCUCCUCUCCCCUGAUGUGUAGUGCAACUAUAAAUAGGGAGAGAAUUGCUUGAGGAGAGCUCUCUUGCUACUGUUCUGAGCUCACUCUUUGACUAAUCUAAAUGCUCUCUCUGCUCACUGAUCGAUCAAGGAUGGCACUGAAAUAUCAGCAAGGACCAGCACAAAAAGAAAGGGAGAAUAAAUGGGACCAAUUAACUUACUUCUGUUUAAGAGUACACUACUUUUGACUUUGGAGUCGCACUGGUGAAUGGGGCGUCGCAUGGUCUAUGCUGGAGGUGUUCACAUAUAACAAGUUCACUAUUUGUUCCAUUGGUCAGUUGUAUAAUCUGUGGGCGUAUUUAAGUUGAACUAUGCUCCUUCCUUGGUAUUUGGAGACAAGAUACUGACAGUUUUUAUGUUACCAGACUGUUUAUUAGUUAUCUGUAGUUUUAUAACAAUCUCCAUUGUCAAUGGUAGUUCAGAUUCUUCAGGAA